ACGCUUACAGAACCCUAAAUCUCUCACUCUUUUCCUUCACGCUUCCUGAUUUCCCUUUCGUCUUCACCUUCAAGUCUAUGAAGUUCAAUCGAUUCAACGUGUUAUUAACCCGUUUUGUUAUAUUUGAUUGUUGGCGGAAGACGAUGGAGGUUAUCGGAGGUCACACCUGCCCAUCCGGCACCUUCAUUAGCCUCACCCUUUCUCUCCAAACGCUAAUUCUUUUCUUUCCAAACACGCCUUUGCCUCAAUUGUUUCAUGAUUCCAUUGCAAGUUUUCUUCCCCAUCACCAUCAUCCUCCAUUUUUUAUUGAUUUCAUAAGAAGAGGUAUUGUUUUGUUGAUUUUUACUUCAUCCACGCUAUUAUCAAAAUGUCUAAGAAUGGAACCGGUGUUAAUAAAGCUAAGAAGCAACCAGGUUAAUAAAGCCAAGAAGCAACGAGUUCCUGUAAGAGACUUCAUUGACAUUAUUAAUGAAAGUCGAAAGGAGACAUGGUAAAAACUAUUUUACUUUGCUCUUUAGAAGGUGUUUAGGACUGCUUAUUCGUUCUUUGGAUGCUGUAAUGAGUCAAAUGGUCUAUCUUGAAAAUUUGGUUAUAAGUGGAACUGGUCAAUGGUUUUGGUGAUAAUCUAUUUUGCUCACAAGUUGGUUUAUACUGGUUAUAGAUUACAUAUAACCAUGCUUGUAAAAUUCUCGCAUAAGCUCUAAGUACUCGCUACAAGGUAGGUUGCUGAGGCCCGAGUACUGUUCCUCUAGCCAAAUCGGUCACGAUUGGGUAAGACGUGAAUAAAAAAAUGUCACGUUGUAUUUAUUUUAUUUGCACAUUUAUGAUUAAUCAAGUCAAAUAAUGGGUUGUCACUUUUAAUACUAGAAGUGACUGCAAAAUUUUGAAUCCCAGAUGAAAAAAAUGUAGGAUGCCUUUUGUUGAUUUCCCAUAAGUAUUUAGGGUAUCAACGUAAAUUUUUCAUUAAUUAUUUUGUAUUUAUAUUGGUUCAUUAUUUUUAAAUACUUUUAUGUAUUAUUUUGCAAUUCAAAUUUGUAAUUUUUGUUAUUAAAUGGUGCAUAAUUAGUACAAUUUAUUUGAUACAAGAUGUUGGAAGAUUUUCGCCAACCAUGUUUAGGAAAUGGAUCAGAAUUGUCGGGUUGGGCUGUCCAUUUUUAUAACUUAUUAUAAAAACAAAUGCAAAAAUAUUUUUUAAAAGUGAAUUUAAAUUACUUUAGAUCUAAAACAUACCAAAGUUUGGUAGCAUCGAGGUUAAAUUUUGAUUUAUAAGCAAAUGGAUAUAUGUGAAUCACUUAUUUUUCCUCUGAUAUACAUGUAAUAUGUGAAUGUGAAUAUUAUUUGUAUCAGUUCAAAUGUUUGAUAACUUUUCAAGUUAGACUUUUGUUGUGUUAUUAAAUGAAGUAUAGUGGUUCAUAGGAUUCUGAUAUUAAAGUCAUGUACGAGAUAUGCUACUCGUAGAUGUUUAAAAGGGGAUGCUUUUAGCUAUAUACUGCAUUACUGCCCUUAAACUACCUUUUUUCAAUUGUAAUAGUAUAUUCGGCCAUUUGUGGUUCUGUUGUUAUGCUCUCUUUAGAAGUAGAAUGGGAAUGUAAGCAUUUUCGUUGAGCAAACUCAGAUUCAACUCUUGAAGAGCCAAACUUUAUGUUCAAACCACUAACAAAUUCUUCUAGCAUACUUCAUAAAACUCCUCGUAUGUAUUUGUGGUUCUGUUAUUAUUUUAUUUUUGUUUACAGAUGUUAUAGAUUGAAAGCAAAGGACGAAAUCAAAAGUUCUAAGUUGGAUUCCUGAAGUAUUGUUCGUAUUAGAGGACACUUCAAACAGUUAGAGACAGAGUUCAGGAGUAUCCUCAACAUUUUAAAUCAUCCGGAUUUCAAGGAUGGCACGAUCCUGAGUCGUCACAACAGUUCAAGUGACCUCUAUCCGCUCACCCCGCCUGCUUCCGCUACUGCCUGCUUUGUCUCCUCCGUAGACUCUCCUCAUUGGCACCACCGACUUAGACAUCCGGGUCAACCAGUCAUGGAGUCUCUACGAUCCAAGCACUUUAUUUCUUGCAAUAAAAUAAAAUUUCCUUUACUUUGUCAUUCAUGUCAGUUAUCUAAACACAAGAAAUUGCCUUUUUCUGAUUCUGUAUCCCGCACUUUAAUGCCUUUUGCUAUGUUACACUGUGAUUUGUGG
Molecule: long non-coding RNA, 2175 nt
Organism: Helianthus annuus (common sunflower)
Lineage: Eukaryota; Viridiplantae; Streptophyta; Magnoliopsida; Asterales; Asteraceae
Exons: 3
Source: RefSeq, a predicted model, not a curated record